CUUGGUCAUUUAGAGGAAGUAAAAGUCGUAACAAGGUUUCCGUAGGUGAACCUGCGGAAGGAUCAUUACCGAGUUCAUGCCCUCACGGGUAGAUCUCCCACCCUUUGUAUACCAUACCUUUGUUGCUUUGGCGGGCCGCCUAGCUACUGGCUUCGGCUGGUAAGUGCCCGCCAGAGGACCCAAAACCCUGAAUAUUAGUGUCGUCUGAGUAAAAUUUUAAUAUUUAAAACUUUCAACAACGGAUCUCUUGGCUCUGGCAUCGAUGAAGAACGCAGCGAAAUGCGAUAAGUAAUGUGAAUUGCAGAAUUCAGUGAAUCAUCGAAUCUUUGAACGCACAUUGCGCCCCUUGGUAUUCCGAGGGGCAUGCCUAUUCGAGCGUCAUUAUCACCCCUCAAGCUUCGGCUUGGUGUUGAGGCCUGCUGUAAAGGCACCCUCUAAAAUCAGUGGCAGUGCUGUCAGGCUCUAAGCGUAGUAAUUUCAUCGCUAUAGGGUCCCGGUGGAUACUCGUCAAAACCCCCCCAUUUUUUAAUGAUUGACCUCGGAUUAGGUAGGGAUACCCGCUGAACUUAAGCAUAUCAAUAAGCGGAGGAAAAGAAACUAACAAGGAUUCCCCUAGUAACGGCGAGUGAAGCGGGAUGAGCUCAAAUUUAAAAUCUGGCGGUCUCAGAUCGUCCGAGUUGUAGUCUAGAGAAGCGUUUUCCGUGCUGGCCUGUGUACAAGUCCGUUGGAACACGGCGUCAUAGAGGGUGAGAAUCCCGUCCUUGACACAGAUCUCCAGUGCUUUGUGAUGCGCUCUCAAAGAGUCGAGUUGUUUGGGAAU
RNAcentral lists this small RNA (820 nucleotides) under uncultured Tetracladium. RNAcentral describes it as "eukaryotic LSU rRNA". The stretch from base 534 to 820 matches the Rfam family "Eukaryotic large subunit ribosomal RNA", at positions 1 to 281 of the family's 3401-position model. The record is from RNAcentral. Lineage: Eukaryota; Fungi; Ascomycota.